RNAcentral lists this ribosomal RNA (379 nucleotides) under Neocyttus helgae. RNAcentral's name for it is "partial 16S ribosomal RNA". It matches the Rfam family "Bacterial large subunit ribosomal RNA", at positions 1963 to 2496 of the family's 2925-position model. The record is from RNAcentral. Lineage: Eukaryota; Metazoa; Chordata; Actinopteri; Zeiformes; Oreosomatidae.
AAUCACUUGUCUUUNAAAUGAAGACCCGUAUGAAUGGCACCACGAGGGCUUAGCUGUCUCCUUUUUCAAGUCAAUGAAAUUGAUCUCCCCGUGCAGAAGCGGGGAUAANUACAUAAGACGAGAAGACCCUAUGGAGCUUCAGACCUAGUGCAGAUCACGAAAAAUACUUUAAGACAAAAAAGAAAAGCCCAAUGACCCCUGCACACUGUCUUUGGUUGGGGCGACCGCGGGGAAAAACAAAACCCCCACGAGGACUGAGAGUUUUACUCCUAAAACCAAGAGCCACAGCUCUAAGUAUCAGAAAUUCUGACCUAAAUGAUCCGGGCAACCGAUCAACGAACCGAGUUACCCUAGGGAUAACAGCGCAAUCCCCUUCCAG